RNAcentral lists this ribosomal RNA (253 nucleotides) under uncultured bacterium. RNAcentral describes it as "partial 16S ribosomal RNA". It matches the Rfam family "Bacterial small subunit ribosomal RNA", at positions 524 to 776 of the family's 1533-position model. The record is from RNAcentral.
GACGAAGGGGGCUAGCGUUGUUCGGAAUUACUGGGCGUAAAGCGAGUGUAGGUGGUUGUCCAAGUUGGAUGUGAAAGCCUUGAGCUCAACUCAAGAAAUGCAUUCAGGACUGGGCGGCUAGAGGACCGGAGAGGAUAGUGGAAUUCCCAGUGUAGUGGUGAAAUACGUAGAGAUUGGGAGGAACACCAGUGGCGAAGGCGGCUAUCUGGACGGUUUCUGACACUAAGACUCGAAAGCGUGGGGAGCAAACAGG